Non-coding RNA from Triticum aestivum (bread wheat), 135 nucleotides. NCBI's taxonomy places the organism in Eukaryota, Viridiplantae, Streptophyta, Magnoliopsida, Poales, Poaceae. The record is from Rfam.
AAAGUAGUUCCUCCAUCCCAAAAUUCUUGUAUCAGAUUUGUCUAGAUACGGAUGUAUCAAGUCACAUUUUAGUAUUAGAUACAUCAGUAUCUAGAUAAAUCAAAGAUAAGAAUUUUGGGACGGAGGGAGUAGUUG